GGAUGUGAGGUUGAUGUGGCUGUGACAUUGUCACUUCAUUGUCAUGGCUGAUUAGGUUGAUCUGGCUGGCUAGGUGUGUGUACCCUUCCUACCUCACUGCUACUGUGUGUCCCUCGCAAAGCUGUGCACUCAAAGAGAAUGAAUGACCUUCCCCAGUAGAAGAGGAUCAUACUUUGGUCAAGGGUAUAAAGGUAGCUAUACUUCCCAGCUAGGAACUCCAGGCAAGCUCUCAAAGGUAGAGAUGGGGGGGGGGAGAGGUCCUUGCAGCUAGAUAGAAGAGAGUAGGGAAGGAAAGGCCUGGAAGGAA
RNAcentral lists this small nuclear RNA (307 nucleotides) under Jaculus jaculus (lesser Egyptian jerboa). Its description in RNAcentral is "7SK RNA (ENSJJAG00000007674.1)". It matches the Rfam family "7SK RNA", at positions 1 to 283 of the family's 331-position model. From Rfam's summary of the family: 7SK was discovered as an abundant small nuclear RNA in the mid-70s but a possible function has only recently been suggested. Two independent studies have found that 7SK RNA binds the CDK9/cyclin T complex (known as elongation factor P-TEFb). Lineage: Eukaryota; Metazoa; Chordata; Mammalia; Rodentia; Dipodidae. The record is from RNAcentral.